GUGUAAUUUAUUAUGACUACUCCGGGAAUAGGAUUUCUGAGCUUCCUAGGUCACCGAGAACCACCCCAAUGAGUCCCUUGAGAAAUUUUUCUUUCCCUGUGGAGAAUAAUGUAUAAUCGACGUCUUAAUGAGCAAAGUAUUCUGGUAAUAAUGAAAUUUUAUUUAUUAUAGAUUUUUAUGCUAUUUUUUCUCUCCCCCAUAAGCAUUUUCUUGACAGAAGCAGAAAGAAAAUAUUUUUUUACAAAUGAUCAAGAUAUCUUGAGGAAUCAUGAUUAGUUUAUAUUCAUAUGAGUCCUUUUCACAGGAAAUGAGAAUUUUGUGAUAUAAUAGAAGCAGAAGUUAUGCAGAAUUUUCAAGAAUCGAAGUUGAUGAUUUUUUUUUGUUUAAGUGCAACAGGCACGAUAAAGUUAGGUCAGUUUUGAUUAGUUGCUCUCUAAUUUUCAUCUUAUUUUCUAUUGAAAAAUGAAAGGAGGAUCAUGCUAAUUGCAUUAUUUCGAAGUUCCGCCCAUCCAUUUGACAUCCCCAACUACAAUCACGAAAAAAUGGGUUAGAAAGUUGUGUGAACACACUCACUUGUACGUUUGGAGCUAAAUUCUACUUUUUAGAUUAUUUAUUUAUUUUAACAAAUUUUAAAUCAAAAAUUCUUUUUCCAAGCAUAUGAUGUCUUUAGUUAUCUUUUCUUCCAAUAGUAAUUAACAACCAAUUUCAGAUAAUUAAUUUGGAAUAUUUAAAUCUCAUUAUUUUUCUAGUUAAUUAGUCUUAAAACAAAAGGCCUUUGAUUAAUCUUCCCUCAGCCCAAGUUCAAUUAAGUCAAGGAAAAAAAAAUCAUAUAUCACGUAAGUAUUCAUCAAUUCAAUUUUUAGAGCGUAAGUUUAAAAUUCCAAAAGUCAGGUAUUAAUUCAAUAUUGUAGUUUUAAAUGAUAAUAUUAUAAAAUUAAAUUAAUCUACCCACCCCAAACCCCCAGACCCCUACCUCCACCUCGUGCUCUCGCUUGCCACUAUCCUCUCUUACAGCUGCUGACAUCCAUCCUUCCAGUUACCGACAUCCAAAUAAUUUCGUCGAAAAAAAUAUAGAAUCUAUAUAGAUCACCUGCAACUUCUUCAAC
RNAcentral lists this long non-coding RNA (1106 nucleotides) under Olea europaea (common olive). Its description in RNAcentral is "long non-coding RNA (OEUR_LNC002276)". Lineage: Eukaryota; Viridiplantae; Streptophyta; Magnoliopsida; Lamiales; Oleaceae. The record is from RNAcentral.